Gambusia affinis (western mosquitofish) is the source of this 482-nucleotide long non-coding RNA. RefSeq lists it as uncharacterized. NCBI's taxonomy places the organism in Eukaryota, Metazoa, Chordata, Actinopteri, Cyprinodontiformes, Poeciliidae. The record is from RefSeq and is a predicted model, not a curated record. The transcript has 3 exons.
GUCUGACUGAUGCUAAAUAGAAUGAAAGUGGUGACAGGAACUGUGAAGUAUCAGUGGUCCUUUCACCACUGAGCUGGUGACUCAGCACUGGCCAGCAGCAAAUUUCAAUAAAUCAAACCACUAACUGGACCCACGGGGCAGCCAUGGGCAGAGUGUUUCUCAUUACAGCUUUGUAAGUCUGCAAUGAGCUGAUUGACAGUUUGGAAAACGGCCCGGGAAUAAUCUCCAAACAUUUCAGUUGAUAUAUCAGCAUCUUAAUCUCCUUCUUAAAUAAUGGGACACCUCCAUAAAACAUGACAAAAGCCUGAGCAUGCAUGAAUAAUCCUUCACGGUGACAGCAGAAGGAAGGGAGCCAUGGGCAUUGAUCGUAGCUGUGAUUGUAAGGAGGCACUGGAUUGAGUCGCACAAUCACCAGCAAUUACAUUGAUUGGAUGAAUCUUCAAUGGAGCAUCAUGGCUAAACAAAGAGGAAGCAGUUGGAGA